CAUGWCAAGUCGAGGGGCAGCACAUGAGUAGCAAYACGAUGGUGGCGACCGGCGCACGGGCGAGUAACACGUAUGCAACCUGCCUGUAAGAGGGGAACAACCCGGAGAAAUUCGGACUAAUACCGCAUAAUACCACGAGACUGCAUGGUUUUGUGGUUAAACAUUUAUGGCUUACAGAUGGGCAUGCGUAUGAUUAGAUAGUUGGUAGGGUAACGGCCUACCAAGUCUACGAUCAUUAGGGGUUCUGAGAGGAAGGUCCCCCACACUGGUACUGAGACACGGACCAGACUCCUACGGGAGGCAGCAGUGAGGAAUAUUGGUCAAUGGGCGAGAGCCUGAACCAGCCAAGUCGCGUGAAGGAAGAAGGUUCUAUGGAUUGUAAACUUCUUUUGCAGGGGAAUAAAGGACGGUACGUGUACUGUUUUGUAUGUACCUUGCGAAUAAGGAUCGGCUAACUCCGUGCCAGCAGCCGCGGUAAUACGGAGGAUCCGAGCGUUAUCCGGAUUUAUUGGGUUUAAAGGGUGCGUAGGUGGAUUGUUAAGUCAGUGGUGAAAGUUUUCAKCUCAACUGAAAAAUUGCCGUUGAAACUGUCGAUCUUGAGUGCAAAUGAGGUAGGCGGAAUGUGUUGUGUAGCGGUGAAAUGCUUAGAUAUAAACACAGAACUCCGAUUGCGAAGGCAGCUUACUGUGAUGCAACUGACACUGAUGCACGAAAGCGUGGRGUAUCAAACAGGAUUAGAUACCCUGGUASUCCCACGCAGUAAUCGAUGAMUACUAGCUGUAUGCSAUACACYGUAUGUGGCACAGCCKAAMGCCGUUAAGUUAUUCCMMCCUGGG
RNAcentral lists this ribosomal RNA (836 nucleotides) under uncultured Fluviicola sp. RNAcentral's name for it is "bacterial SSU rRNA". It matches the Rfam family "Bacterial small subunit ribosomal RNA", at positions 54 to 877 of the family's 1533-position model. Lineage: Bacteria; Pseudomonadati; Bacteroidota; Flavobacteriia; Flavobacteriales; Crocinitomicaceae. The record is from RNAcentral.